This 510-nucleotide ribosomal RNA is filed under the name uncultured bacterium. Its description in RNAcentral is "bacterial SSU rRNA". It matches the Rfam family "Bacterial small subunit ribosomal RNA", at positions 27 to 518 of the family's 1533-position model. The record is from RNAcentral.
CAGGAGUGAACGCUGGCGGCGUGCUUAACACCAUGCAAGUCGAACGAAGCGUCCCGCCCGAUGAAGUGGAGUGCUUGCACAAAGUGGAUUCAAUUGGGAUGACUUAGUGGCGGACGGGUGAGUAACGCGUGGGUAACCUGCCUUACACAGGGGACAACAGUUGGAACGACUGCUAAUACCGCAUAACCCGCUAGUACCGCAUGGUACAGACGGAAAAGAUUUAUCGGUGUAAGAUGGACCCGCGUCUGAUUAGAUAGUUGGUGAGGUAACGGCUCACCAAGUCGACGAUCAGUAGCCGGCCUGAGAGGGUGAACGGCCACAUUGGGACUGAGACACGGCCCAAACUCCUACGGGAGGCAGCAGUGGGGAAUAUUGGACAAUGGGGGAAACCCUGAUCCAAGCGACGCCGCGUGAGUGAAGAAGUAUUUCGGUAUGUAAAGCUCUAUCAGCAGGGAAGAAAAUGACGGUACCUGACUAAGAAGCCCCGGCUAACUACGUGCCAGCAGCAGC